RNAcentral lists this non-coding RNA (29 nucleotides) under Mus musculus (house mouse). The record is from RNAcentral. Lineage: Eukaryota; Metazoa; Chordata; Mammalia; Rodentia; Muridae.
UGCCUGACAAGCUGUAGCAGAAGCAGGAG